RNAcentral lists this ribosomal RNA (331 nucleotides) under uncultured eukaryote. RNAcentral describes it as "partial 18S ribosomal RNA". It matches the Rfam family "Eukaryotic small subunit ribosomal RNA", at positions 1470 to 1796 of the family's 1831-position model. The record is from RNAcentral.
CCCUUAGAUGUUCUGGGCCGCACGCGCGCUACACUGAAUGGAUCAACGUGUUUUCCCUUCCCGAGAGGGACGGGUAACCCGCUGAACCCCAUUCGUGGUAGGGAUCGGAGCUUGCAAUUGUUCUCCGUGAACCAGGAAUUCCCAGUAAGCGCGAGUCAUAAGCUCGCGUUGAUUACGUCCCUGCCCUUUGUACACACCGCCCGUCGCUACUACCGAUUGAACGGUUUAGUGAGGGCAUCGGACUGGUCUCGGCCCGCCCUUCACCGGUGCGGCGCCGCCGGCCGGGAAGACGCUCGAACUUGAUCGUUUAGAGGAAGUAAAAGUCGUAACA